UCACACUUGUGCUCCAGGCCCUGCACCAGCCCCAUUGCCCUGCUCCAGAGGCAGGUUUCCCAGGGGAACAUUCCUUGCCUGGCGCUGAACACGGUGUUACAGCAUCGCAGGGAUGUGUUUUCUGUGGGGCUGAAGGGGCUCUUCACCCCCCUCUCUGUCUUUCAGGACAUGCAGGAGAAGGAAGCCAUCACCCCUGAGCGAGCAGAAGAGGUCAAACUCAAGGCCAAAUACCCCAACCUGGGCCAGAAGCCCGGAGGCUCCGACUUCCUCAUGAAGAGACUGCAGAAAGGGCAAAAAUACUUUGAUUCCGGUGACUACAACAUGGCCAAGGCAAAGAUGAAGAACAAGCAGCUGCCGAGUGCGGGGCCAGACAAGAACCUGGUGACAGGAGACCACAUUCCCACCCCGCAGGACCUCCCGCAGCGCAAGUCCUCGCUUGUGACCAGCAAGCUGGCCGGGUAACCCGCGCUCACAGCCCGGCCUUCCCCCUUCUCCUCCUCCUUUUGCCUAAAUGGAUUGAACUUCACUGUACCAUAGCGACAGGAGCACCAGAAUCCCCGUAGUUCCUUGAGCAGCCCAGCAAACACAGCCCAGCCCCCAGAAGACACGUAAGAGGCGUCAGCAGGACACACGGGCAGGUUCAGCUGCUCCUUUAGCAAAACCACUCGGUUCCCACCUUCGUUUUCCUGCUGUUUGGAAGCUUGCCGAGCCUCCGGAGCGCUGCCUCCUCACAGCAGGAAGGGGCUCGGAGUCGUUGCUGUUGCUUGGUGCUGGGUAGGAGGGGAGUGCUCGGAGCCGAGCUGUGUGAGCGCUGGGCAGAAGGUGCGGGAUGUGGGCUGGAGCUUCGGAGCGAAGGAACAAGCUGAUGUGCAAAGAGCUCCGUGGCUGCAGCGCUGGGCUGAGCUCGCAGGAGGGGACCUCACGUCCCACAGCCCUGCGGCUGCGUUGGGAAAGGUUCUGGGGGCUUGAAGCUGCUCUGGGUUUCAAGCACAGCUCCAUCGGAGCAGGGGGCGCGUGGGGCUCGCUGCUGCAGGGCUUCAGGCAGCUUCUCUCCAUGGGCUGCUGGAGGUGCUGAGCUGGGUCCCACCAGCAGCGAGGUGCUGGACACCGCAGAGAGCGGCCAAGCAGCGGAGCCCCGGCCUCAUGCCCACGGGUUGGCACUUGCAAAGCAGCCGGUGAGGUGGGUGGGAGCUCCUGGAGCUGAUCUCCGGAGCAGGGAAUAACCACCCUGCAAGGGGAAGAUGCGCCGGAGCCACCGAGCAUGGAGGUAGGAAGGGAGAGAGCAGUGUCGGGUGCCCCACGCUUGGAUUUCUUCCUUUUUUCUCCCUUUCCUUUCCCUUCUUUGCCUUUUCUUUGCUCUAGGCCUGGACAAAACCAACCAAACCCCAAGCAAACAGCGAGGUGGGUGCGAUGCUGCAGCCUGUGCACGUCCUGCCUGCUCCUCAGGCACUGGCUGGAGGUGCAGCACCUCCUGCCCUGUGCACUGCACGGGCUCAGCACCCCCGUGCCUGCUUUUGGAGGCGUUUAGGAGGAAGUCGAGUGGACUUUUUGCUUUCGUUGUGUGGGGAUGACGAGGGGGGAUCCCAGGGCUGGGAGGCAGCGGGUGCUGCUCUGCACGGGCACAGCGUGUUCCUGCCCGGCUGCCUCGGGGAACCCGUCUGACGGGUGUCAGCUCCCUGCUGCCGUGUCCCCAGGAGCGGGGCGCUGCUUCCUGGCAGGGUGUUUGCCAAGGGUGUGCUCGGAGCAAACCCGCUGCAGCUCCUCCCCUCGGGCACCCCGAGCUGGGGGCUCCCUUCCCCACAUCUCCCACGUUGUGGAGCAGGCAAAGGGGCACUGGGGGUGCCCCCUGGUCACCCCGGGGCUGGGCUUUGGUCUCCAGUCCCUUUGCACGCCCUGGGUGAGCUGGCACUGCCUGCAGCCUCCUCGGAUGUCCCGUGUGUCCCAGCCAUGCUGUAAAUAGAUAUGAAUCAUAUAUAUAUAUAUAAAAAUAUAUCUAAUUUUUUACAUGUU
Molecule: long non-coding RNA, 2010 nt
Organism: Strigops habroptila (Kakapo)
Lineage: Eukaryota; Metazoa; Chordata; Aves; Psittaciformes; Psittacidae
Source: Ensembl